AGGAUGAACGCUGGCGGUCUGCUUAACACAUGCAAGUCGAACGGGCGUAGCAAUACGUUAGUGGCGGACGGGUGAGUAACGCGUGAGAAUCUACCUUCAGGACGGAGACAACAGUUGGAAACGACUGCUAACCCCCGAUGUACCGAAAGGGCAAAUAUUUAUAGCCUGAAGAAGAGCUCGCGUCCGAUUAGCUAGUUGGAGAGGUAAAAGCUCACCAAGGCGACGAUCGGUAGCUGGUCUGAGAGGACGAUCAGCCACACUGGGACUGAGACACGGCCCAGACUCCUACGGGAGGCAGCAGUGGGAAUUUUCCGCAAUGGGCGAAAGCCUGACGGAGCAAGACCGCGUGGGGGAAGAAGGCUCUUGGGGUUGUAAAACCCCCGUUUUUCUCCUUGGGGAAGAACGGCAAUGACGGUACCAGAGGAAUCAGCAUCGGCUAACUCCGCGCCAGCAGCCGC
This 458-nucleotide ribosomal RNA is filed under the name uncultured bacterium. Its description in RNAcentral is "SSU rRNA". It matches the Rfam family "Bacterial small subunit ribosomal RNA", at positions 26 to 518 of the family's 1533-position model. The record is from RNAcentral.